UACAGAGGGUGCAAGCGUUAAUCGGAUUUACUGGGCGUAAAGGGCGCGUAGGUGGUUAUUUAAGUGAGAUGUGAAAGCCCCGGGCUUAACCUGGGAACUGCAUCUUAUACUGGGUAACUGGAGUGCAAUAGAGGGUAGUGGAAUUUCCGGUGUAGCGGUGAAAUGCGUAGAUAUCGGAAGGAACACCAGUGGCGAAGGCGGCUACCUGGAUUGACACUGACACUGGAGGCGCGAGAGCGUGGGGAGCAAACAGG
Molecule: ribosomal RNA, 254 nt
Filed under: uncultured bacterium
Lineage: Bacteria
Description: partial 16S ribosomal RNA
Rfam family: Bacterial small subunit ribosomal RNA
Source: RNAcentral